GCCACGUCAACGAGCAUCGACAGAAGUGCGCCCAUAGAAAUAGGUCUGCAAAGCCGGACACAAGUCAGAAGAGAAGCUGAUGAGGCAUCUUCUGAAGCCAAAAAAAACAAGAGUUGAGGAUGAGGAAUGUGUGUGUCUGGCUGCCCGUCUAGAGGACCAUAAAGAAGGCAAUGUGCAAAGCUGGUGAUGUGUAACCUGACUUACAUUGGAAUUGCCAUCUCAGACACAGAAGACCGGGGUUUGCUGACCAUCUCUGGCUUCAACCUUGGAGUUUUAGUGUCAUUUGUAAUUUGGCUGAUCUGAUAAGAUUUCUGGGACUUUUCCUGAGUAAUGUAAUGAGUGUAGAAUAUGAAGGCCAAUUCAACAUUUGUAGCAAGAGGUUGGCAGGUUAAGGGGAACAAUGCAUGAGUCACAGUUAUAGGGUGUUUGCAGAUGUAGGUUUACUUCGGGGGGAUUACCUGUAGUCUUCAACAUGCAUCUAUGGUAUGAGUUAGCAAGUUUAAUGUAGAGAUACUUAACAUCAAUGAAAGAGAAACCUGAAACAAAGCACACAAAGUCAAUGGUAAAACUUGGAGUUGCUUUUUAUUGUGUUAAUUUCACAGAUUUCUUAGAUCAGAAAAGUUUUUUCAAGUAUUAACAUCUUGGAUUCCUUUUACACAGUCUUUGCUUUAGCUUAGCCACAAAUUUUAGUUGUUCUAACAUUUGUUUGACCCUAAGCCCAGUUUAUUGUUUUAAAGCUGAGUUUUCUGUUUUCUUCUCGUGAGGUUAUACUUUAAAAGAAAUGUGGUGACACUUUUUAUAAAGUAAAUUUGGAUUCAGUUUUAACAACACACUAAUGCCAAUUUUGGGAUUUUUUUUGUGUGUGUGUGUGAAAAGUUUGUGUUUCAGUCUGAAUUCUAUGCAUCAGAAUUUACAUUUUACUGUAAUAAAGUACUGUAAUAAGCUUUACUUAUCACGGUGUCAUUUCGUCUUCAUAAACAAAAGAACAAUAAACUGACCAUGUAACUGUGAAGGAUGUUUGUCCCAACAUGCUGAUGUUUUCAUUUUUAAUUUUAAAGCAACAUCCAACAUAUAAAAUAUUUAUAACAUGACUGUUGACACAGCGUUUUAGGAGAUGGACAUGAGAUUUGGUAGUUCUCAAGUGUUUCACAACCAUUCUGUUGUAUCUGUCCUGCUUAACAUGUACCUACUGUAGCGGCGAUGUGAAGCCCUUCCUAAUAAACAACUUGCUGCUCUGGAAA
Pundamilia nyererei is the source of this 1241-nucleotide long non-coding RNA. RefSeq lists it as uncharacterized. The transcript has 3 exons. NCBI's taxonomy places the organism in Eukaryota, Metazoa, Chordata, Actinopteri, Cichliformes, Cichlidae. The record is from RefSeq and is a predicted model, not a curated record.